This 376-nucleotide ribosomal RNA is filed under the name uncultured bacterium. Its description in RNAcentral is "bacterial SSU rRNA". It matches the Rfam family "Bacterial small subunit ribosomal RNA", at positions 524 to 898 of the family's 1533-position model. The record is from RNAcentral.
UACAGGGGGUGCAAACGUUGCUCGGAAUUAUUGGGCGUAAAGCGCGCGUAGGCGGUUGCUUAAGUCGGAUGUGAAAGCCCUUGGCUUAACCGAGGAAGUGCAUCCGAAACUGAGCAGCUUGAGUAUGACAGAGGGUCGCGGAAUUCCUGGUGUAGAGGUGAAAUUCGUAGAUAUCGGGAGGAACACCGGUGGCGAAGGCGGCGACCUGGGUCAAAACUGACGCUGAGGCGCGAAAGCGUGGGGAGCAAACAGGAUUAGAUACCCUGGUAGUCCACGCCGUAAACGAUGGGUGCUAGAUGUUGCUGGUAUUGACCCCGGCUGCGUCGAAGCUAACGCGUUAAGCACCCCGCCUGGGGAGUACGGCCGCAAGGCUAAA